AUGAACGCUAGCGGCGUGCCUCAUACAUGCCAGUCGAGCGAACAGAUGAGGAGCUUGCUCCUCUGACGUUAGCGGCGGACGGGUGAGUAACACGUGGAUAACCUACCUAUAAGACUGGGAUAACUUCGGGAAACCGGAGCUAAUACCGGAUAAUAUAUUGAACCGCAUGGUUCAAUAGUGAAAGACGGUUUUGCUGUCACUUAUAGAUGGAUCCGCGCCGCAUUAGCUAGUUGGUAAGGUAACGGCUUACCAAGGCGACGAUGCGUAGCCGACCUGAGAGGGUGAUCGGCCACACUGGAACUGAGACACGGUCCAGACUCCUACGGGAGGCAGCAGUAGGGAAUCUUCCGCAAUGGGCGAAAGCCUGACGGAGCAACGCCGCGUGAGUGAUGAAGGUCUUCGGAUCGUAAAACUCUGUUAUUAGGGAAGAACAAAUGUGUAAGUAACUAUGCACGUCUUGACGGUACCUAAUCAGAAAGCCACGGCUAACUACGUG
This 496-nucleotide ribosomal RNA is filed under the name uncultured bacterium. RNAcentral describes it as "partial 16S ribosomal RNA". It matches the Rfam family "Bacterial small subunit ribosomal RNA", at positions 29 to 507 of the family's 1533-position model. The record is from RNAcentral.